UGCCCCAUGGCUGAGUUGGUUACAGCGUCCGACUGUUAUACAUUAUGACAUCGGAAGGUCGUGAGUUCGAGCCUCACUGGGGCAG
Molecule: transfer RNA, 85 nt
Filed under: Panus rudis PR-1116 ss-1
Lineage: Eukaryota; Fungi; Basidiomycota; Agaricomycetes; Polyporales; Panaceae
Description: tRNA-Asn
Rfam family: tRNA
About the family: Transfer RNA (tRNA) molecules are approximately 80 nucleotides in length. Their secondary structure includes four short double-helical elements and three loops (D, anti-codon, and T loops).
Source: RNAcentral